GAUGAACGCUGGCGGCGUGCCUAAUACAUGCAAGUCGAGCGAACAGAUGAGGAGCUUGCUCCUCUGACGUUAGCGGCGGACGGGUGAGUAACACGUGGAUAACCUACCUAUAAGACUGGGAUAACUUCGGGAAACCGGAGCUAAUACCGGAUAAUAUAUUGAACCGCAUGGUUCAAUAGUGAAAGACGGUUUUGCUGUCACUUAUAGAUGGAUCCGCGCCGCAUUAGCUAGUUGGUAAGGUAACGGCCUACCAAGGCAACGAUGCGUAGCCGACCUGAGAGGGUGAUCGGCCACACUGGAACUGAGACACGGUCCAGACUCCUACGGGAGGCAGCAGUAGGGAAUCUUCCGCAAUGGGCGAAAGCCUGACGGAGCAACGCCGCGUGAGUGAUGAAGGUCUUCGGAUCGUAAAACUCUGUUAUUAGGGAAGAACAAAAGUGUAUGUAACUAUGCACGUCUUGACGGUACCUAAACAGAAAGCCCCGGCUAACUACGUG
Molecule: ribosomal RNA, 497 nt
Filed under: uncultured bacterium
Lineage: Bacteria
Description: partial 16S ribosomal RNA
Rfam family: Bacterial small subunit ribosomal RNA
Source: RNAcentral